This 888-nucleotide long non-coding RNA is filed under the name Oryza sativa Indica Group (long-grained rice). RNAcentral's name for it is "lncRNA OsLaMu_12g0015340". Lineage: Eukaryota; Viridiplantae; Streptophyta; Magnoliopsida; Poales; Poaceae. The record is from RNAcentral.
ACCGUUCACUCUCUUCUUCCCAAAGUCCCAAACCACCAUUCCCAAAGCUUUGAUCCGGCAGCAGCGGCAGUAGCGGCGGCACCAACGGGACGAAGAGGUUGCGGUGGCAGCAACUCCCACGGCAGGAGGAGGUGUCGGCAACCACCCGUGCGAGGAGGCCCACAACAGGAGGCGGCGGUGAAUCACGGGCAAAAGAAGGCGGUGGUGGCGGCAACCUACGUGAGGAGGGUGCGGCUGUGGCGGCAGCUUCGGUGACUUGCGCGAGGAGGCCCACGGGAGGAGGCGGUUGAGCCCAUGGCGGUGACUUGCAGGCUGAAGGAGGCAACAGCGACUGCAGACUGUGGUGCCUUUCUCAAGCGGUCCUCCGAUGGCUAGGGAGAUGACACUCAUAGGCGGAACUCUAAUAUCUUCGUCCGCGGGUGCCCUCCUCCUAUGUGUUUUUUUGUGUUUUUAGACCAAAGUGUUUCAACGGGGUUUCCGAUGGUGUUUCAUUUUUUUCUUUGAUUUUUUCUCGGAUCUUGUUGAUGUUUUCAAUGGCUUAAAUCAUUUUGUUUCAUAUGAUGAACCAAAUUGUUUCAUCUAGCGAUCCAAUUGUUUUUCUCUAUUUUCUAAGAACUGGAACACUCUUAAAAUGGCUUAAAUCAUUUAUUGCAUAUGUUUAACUAAAUUUAUUUCAUCUAGCAAUCCGACUGUAUUUCACUUUUUUUUAAGAACUGAAACAUUCUUUCACUAAUUGUUAAAACAUUGUUUAAUAAAACAACGCUCGAUUUGUAGGUGCUUCUCUUUAUACCCAACGAUAGAGAUGUAAAUCAUCUCCAUUAUUUUUUAAGAAAAUAUAUUGUUCAUGCAGACUGGUGGGAUUACUAACUUCGAAUACAUUACCAAAGC